This 440-nucleotide ribosomal RNA is filed under the name uncultured bacterium. RNAcentral describes it as "partial 16S ribosomal RNA". It matches the Rfam family "Bacterial small subunit ribosomal RNA", at positions 338 to 795 of the family's 1533-position model. The record is from RNAcentral.
CCUACGGGAGGCAGCAGUGGGGAAUAUUGCACAAUGGGGGAAACCCUGAUGCAGCGAUGCCGCGUGGAGGAAGAAGGUUUUCGGAUUUUAAACUCCUUUUAUCAGGGACGAUAAUGACGGUCCCUGAACAAAAAGCUCCGGCUAACUACGUACCAGCAGCCGCGGUAAUCCGGAGGGAGCGAGCGUUGUCCGGACUUACUGGGGGUAAAGGGAGCGUAGGCGGGACGGUAAGUCAGAGGUGAAAACUGAGGGCUCAACCUUCAGACUGCAUUUGAAACUGCUGUUCUGGAGUGAAGUAGAGGUAAGCGGAAUUCCUAGUGUAGCGGUGAAAUGCGUAGAUAUUAGGAGGAACAUCGGUGGCGAAGGCGGCUUACUGGGCUUUUACUGACGCUGAGGCUCGAAAGCGUGGGGAGCAAACAGGAUUAGAUACCCUUGUAGUC